RNAcentral lists this ribosomal RNA (661 nucleotides) under uncultured cyanobacterium. Its description in RNAcentral is "bacterial SSU rRNA". It matches the Rfam family "Bacterial small subunit ribosomal RNA", at positions 99 to 795 of the family's 1533-position model. Lineage: Bacteria; Bacillati; Cyanobacteriota. The record is from RNAcentral.
CGGACGGGUGAGUAACGCGUGAGAAUCUGCCCUCAGGAGGGGGAUAACAGUUGGAAACGACUGCUAAUACCCCAUAUGCCGAGAGGUGAAAUGAAUUUCGCCUGGGGAUGAGCUCGCGUCUGAUUAGCUUGUUGGUGGGGUAACAGCCUACCAAGGCCUCGAUCAGUAGCUGGUCUGAGAGGACGAUCAGCCACACUGGGACUGAGACACGGCCCAGACUCCUACGGGAGGCAGCAGUGGGGAAUUUUCCGCAAUGGGCGAAAGCCUGACGGAGCAACGCCGCGUGAGGGAUGAAGGCCUUUGGGCUGUAAACCUCUUUUCUCAAGGAAGAAGAUCUGACGGUACUUGAGGAAUAAGCCACGGCUAAUUCCGUGCCAGCAGCCGCGGUAAUACGGAGUGGCAAGCGUUAUCCGGAAUUAUUGGGCGUAAAGCGUCCGCAGGCGGCCGUUUAAGUCUGUUGUUAAAUCGUGGAGCUCAACUCCAUCACGGCAACGGAAACUGUUCGGCUUGAGUAUGGUAGGGGCAGAGGGAAUUUCCGGUGUAGCGGUGAAAUGCGUAGAUAUCGGGAAGAACACCAGUGGCAAAAGCGCUCUGCUGGGCCAUUACUGACGCUCAUGGACGAAAGCCAGGGGAGCGAAAGGGAUUAGAUACCCCUGUAGUC